Molecule: long non-coding RNA, 426 nt
Organism: Ictalurus furcatus (blue catfish)
Lineage: Eukaryota; Metazoa; Chordata; Actinopteri; Siluriformes; Ictaluridae
Exons: 3
Source: RefSeq, a predicted model, not a curated record
GACAAAAGUUCUGCCAGAGGAAGACGCCAUUCCUUCCAUCCGUUACCACCUUCGCACUGAAAUGCUGUAGACGUGGAAGAAGACUGUGGCGACUUCACACAUCACCACUUCCUGUAAAAGAAAUACCACUAGAACAAUUCCAUCAUCUGCCGGAAGAAAUAGGCCUCCACUUGGUCACGUUCAUCGGUUUUUUUUUUGUAACACUCGUGUGCUUGGAAAUGGAUAAACCAUAUCAGGUCCUGCAUCAGCAUCUCAUUGCUGCAACAGAUGUUGGAACAGCUGGUUUACACGGAGUACUCUGCACACGUAUUAUUAAACUCCUAACAAUAUAGUUUAGAGCUUAAAAUGAAUCUUUAACUUGUGUACUAUACUGAGAGGAGAAACCUCAUAAGAGGGCCAGGAAAACCGGGCCUCCCUUCAGCUGGA